This 400-nucleotide ribosomal RNA is filed under the name uncultured bacterium. RNAcentral describes it as "bacterial SSU rRNA". It matches the Rfam family "Bacterial small subunit ribosomal RNA", at positions 355 to 746 of the family's 1533-position model. The record is from RNAcentral.
UGGGGAAUCUUGCGCAAUGGACGAAAGUCUGACGCAGCCACGCCGCGUGAGUGAAGAAGGCCUUCGGGUUGUAAAGCUCUGUCGGGCGGGACGAACAAGCUUAAGGUGAAUAGCCUUAGGCCCUGACGGUACCGCCAAAGGAAGCACCGGCUAACUCUGUGCCAGCAGCCGCGGUAAUACAGAGGGUGCAAGCGUUGCUCGGAAUCAUUGGGCGUAAAGGGCAGGUAGGUGGUCUCAUUUGUCUGGGGUGAAAGCCUUGAGCUUAACUCAAGAAGUGCCCCGGAAACGGUGAGACUCGAGUCUUGGAGAGGGUCGUGGAAUUCCCGGUGUAGCGGUGAAAUGCGUAGAGAUCGGGAGGAACACCAGCGGCGAAGGCGGCGACCUGGACAAGUACUGACAC